ACCGGGCAGCCGUGGGCAGGCUUUAAGGAGGUCAAAAGUAACAAGCAGCAAAAAAACAAGCCAGGCGCCGGGAAAGCGCAGUGCCCGGGCAAAGAGCGAAGUUGAGCGGAGCAAGAGCCCUCGGCUUUCCUCAGCACCUCUGCUUUUCCUUCCAAGAUUGGCGGCGGCAAUGGGGAUGAUGGAAGAAGAAGAAGCCGAUUACCAGAAGCAGUUUGACGCUGCUGUUCGUGUCAUUCAAGGCUUGCCCAAGAAUGGUGCCUACCGACCGUCGUACGAAGAAAUGCUACGCUUCUACAGCUACUACAAGCAAGCCACGGUGGGUCGGUGCCAGAUCCCCAGGCCGGGGUUUUGGGACCCUAUUGGCAGAUAUAAAUGGGAUGCAUGGAACAGCUUGGGGAAGAUGACCAAAAUGGAAGCCAUGGCAGCUUAUAUCGCAGAGAUGAAGAAGGCUGCUCAGAAGGUCAUCAACACCGUGCCGUUGGAUGAGUCAUCGGAGGACAUGUUCGUAUACUUCGAACCCCUCUACGAAGUGAUACACGAUAUGCCCAGGCCCCCCGACUCCUUCUUCAAGAAGAAAGCAGUGAAAACGGGCUCAGAGUCUGCCCCGCUCCACAAUGGCUCUUUAAGGGGACUAGCCGAGAACAUCCCACCAGAACACGGAGAGUGCAAUCAAACAGGCAAGAUUUACAGAUAUUCUAGCAAAAUGCCAACCAUGAUGACAGGCCCUGCAGACAAAGAAAUCAAGAGCAGUCAUGUGCCCAGCGAUUCGGAGAGCGAGGUGUUCUGUGACAGCCUGGAACAUGUGGAACCCGAUCAGGUUAGGAGGCUAUCAGCCAUGCAAAACCUCCCCCUGAACAAUAUUCAGAGUGGAGAGAAGACUGGAUAUAAGACUUCAGCAUCUUCAACCAGGGAAGGGAAACCCAACAAAGUUCCGCAAACCGUCCCCACCGGCGAGAGGGGUCUCGGCAGCAGUGCGGGUGCCGUGAUCCAGCGAGACGUGGACCUGCAGGUGAUGAGCGCCAUUCAAGCUUUGCAGGAGGACAUGAAGAAAGUGAUGGAGAGACUCGGCUACCUGGAAUCCCGGGCAACUUUCCAGGCACGUUGCCCGUUCUGAUGGGGAGACACGUUUGUUUCUUUUAUAAAUAAAUGCACAGAUUUUUCAGAGCAGCUGGGGAGGGAACUUUCUGAGAUAUUGCAAAGCAUUGUGGAUGCAUUAUGUGCACUGUAUAAAAACUUAAAAGAGUCCCUAGCUCUCAUCAGGCAGUGGAUCUUCCUGCACAUCUGGGAACAAGGAACUUCCUAAAACCAAAAUCACCUUUGCCAAUACAAGGGUGCCUGUGCAUUAUUAUCUUUUGGGGAAAUUGUCCUCUGUGCUGCACAAGGACACAAGACAGGGCCUGCUCAGUGGCUGCACCUAGACUCUGAAACCUCCUGCCUUUGUCCCCCUCGCUGAUGAUCUUUGGCUGAUAGGAUCAAUAACUGCUAAUGAUUCUCUAUUAUUAUACCUGAAGAAGCUUCUCCACCCCCAUCGUUCUGCCCAGACACUGAGGUCCAGCGCCGAGGGUCUUCUGGCGGUUCCCUCGCUACGAGAAGCCAAGUUACAGGGAACCAGGCAGAGGGCCUUCUCGGUAGUGGCACCCACCCUGUGGAACGCCCUCCCACCAGAGGUCAAAGAGAACAACAAUUACCAGACCUUUAGAAGGCAUCUCAAGGCAGCCCUGUUUAGGGAAGCUUUUAAUGUUUGAUUUCUGUAUUUUAAUGUUUUGUUGGAAGCCGCCCAGAGUGGCUGGGGGAACCCGGCCAGAUGGGUGGGGUAUAAAUAACAAAUUAUUAUUAUUAUUAUUAUUAUUAUUAUUAUUAUUAUUAUUAGCAGCAGCAGCAGCAGCAAACUGCCCAGUUUUAGAAAUUUCAAACAGCCCCCCUUGUGGAGAAGAUCUGGGCUCUUUUGUUAACGGAGAAACUCUCUUUCCCACCAAUUAAAAGUUUCAGAAUCUUUAGGCAAAGGUUUUCUGGCUAUCAGGUUCCACGUUAUGGCGAUAGUAACUCAGGGAAGCGGUUAUUUAACCCUGAGCAACACAUUACUACGCAUAUAGGUUUUGUGCUAUAGCAGUUGUACUUAGUUGGAGCCAAUAAGAAGAGUUAAAUCUUUCAGUGCUAGGAAAUAAGAGCUUUAUUUAUCCAUUCUGGAUUUUAUGGUUUGUGGCCUGUAUCUGUUUAACUUCAUUGUGCAGCUGUUCAGUGAAGAUGGCCUUAACCGUGUUCCACACAAAUUCUUUGGGACGGCGUUCGCUGUGGAACUGUCCAGAGGUGUUCAACUGUGGGGGCCACACAUCGAUGCUGAAUCCUUGUCGGCCAACUUCCUUGCACAAUGGAAAGGAACCUCCAGGUUGGCCUGCACAGCUGUCUCCUCGCACCUGGUUUUUCCUGCUGGCUUGGCC
Zootoca vivipara (common lizard) is the source of this 2438-nucleotide non-coding RNA. Lineage: Eukaryota; Metazoa; Chordata; Lepidosauria; Squamata; Lacertidae. The record is from RefSeq and is a predicted model, not a curated record.